GCUCCAGUGGCGCAAUCGGUUAGCGCGCCGUACUUAUAUAACAGUAUCGGAGGCAUGCGGAGGUUGUGAGUUCGAGCCUCACCUGGAGCA
Molecule: transfer RNA, 90 nt
Filed under: Ciona intestinalis (vase tunicate)
Lineage: Eukaryota; Metazoa; Chordata; Ascidiacea; Phlebobranchia; Cionidae
Rfam family: tRNA
About the family: Transfer RNA (tRNA) molecules are approximately 80 nucleotides in length.
Source: Rfam by way of RNAcentral